AGCAUGUGGUUAAUUCGACGCAACGCGAAGACCUUACAGGCUUGACAUCCCCUGACCGUCUAUGAAAGUUAGGCUUUCUACCUUCGGGUAGACAGGGAGACAGGUGGUGCAUGGUUGUCGUCAGCUCGUGUCGUGAGAUGUUGGGUUAAGUCCCGCAACGAGCGCAACCCUUACGGUUAGUUGCCAGCGGGUUAUGCCGGGCACUCUAGCUGAACUGCCGUUGACAAAACGGAGGAAGGUGGGGAUGACGUCAAAUCAUCAUGCCCUUUAUGUCCUGGGCUACACACGUGCUACAAUGGCCUGUACAGAGGGAAGCGAAAGGGUGACCUGGAGCGAAUCCCAAAAAGCAGGUCUCAGUUCGGAUUGCAGGCUGCAACCCGCCUGCAUGAAGUCGGAAUCGCUAGUAAUCGCAGGUCAGCAUACUGUGGUGAAUACGUUCCCGGGCCUU
This 448-nucleotide ribosomal RNA is filed under the name uncultured Desulfotomaculum sp. RNAcentral describes it as "bacterial SSU rRNA". It matches the Rfam family "Bacterial small subunit ribosomal RNA", at positions 936 to 1382 of the family's 1533-position model. The record is from RNAcentral. Lineage: Bacteria; Bacillati; Bacillota; Clostridia; Eubacteriales; Desulfotomaculaceae.